RNAcentral lists this long non-coding RNA (250 nucleotides) under Lathyrus oleraceus (garden pea). Its description in RNAcentral is "Pisum sativum (pea) long non-coding RNA (PSAT_LNC040133)". The record is from RNAcentral. Lineage: Eukaryota; Viridiplantae; Streptophyta; Magnoliopsida; Fabales; Fabaceae.
AUCUGGUAGACUCCAAGGCCAUCAAUUUUUCACCAUCUCCGAAUGUUAAUGCCAAUCCCAUGCCGGCACAUGGUCAGGCGUUGGUGGGUGCAAUUGCUGAAGAUUCGGAUCACGCCUGUACAGUAGGUGGGGAGACUGACAGUGACUGCGAGUUGGAUGGUUGGAUAAAACCGUGCGUACCAGGGAUGGAAGUCUAGAACUGGAAGGCCUAAAAAGAUCAUCACUGUCACUCUACUGGAAGAGUAAUAUU